RNAcentral lists this non-coding RNA (822 nucleotides) under Helice tridens. The record is from RNAcentral. Lineage: Eukaryota; Metazoa; Arthropoda; Malacostraca; Decapoda; Varunidae.
GAAAUGUUUGAUUUCAGCUUAAUUUUUUACGUUAUUAUUAAAAUUGUAUGAAAGCUAAGGCGUGAUAUAAAUAAUUUAAUUAAAUAUUAAAUUAGUUAAAAAGUAAAGGUAAAUUAUGAAACUUUAUAGUCUCAGCAUAAAAUAUUAUAAGCAAUAUAUUAAAGUAUGAUAUAGUAGUAAUAAUCUAAGUCUGAUUAAUAUUUGUGCCAGCAUUCGCGGUUAUACUUUAAGAUUAAGUAAAAAUUCAAGGUUAUAGUUAAAUAGGUAAUUAAUAAAAUAUAUAAGUAAUAAAGGGUAAAAUCGGAAUAUUAUUUUGUAUAAAAAAAAAUUCUAAUUGAAGCUAAAAAAGUUUAGUAAUAAACUAGGAUUAGAUACCCUAUUAUUCUAAAAUAAAAUAAUCUAGACCAAAUUAGUAAGAGAUAAAUACUUAAAAUUUAAAAAAUUUGGCGGCAAUUUAAUCUUUUCAGAGGAACCUGUUUUGUAAUCGAUAAACCACGAAAAAUCUUACUUGUUCUUGUAAAUAAAACAGUUUGUAUACCAUCAUUAUCAGAUAAUUCUUAGAGGAGAAAUUAUUAAAUUUGGUUGUUUAGUUAAAUUAGAUCAUGGUGCAGUUUAUGGGCAAGGUAAAAUGGGUUACAAUAAAUUACUUUAUGGCGAAUUAAUAAAAUAAUUUUAUUAUGAAGAAGGAUUUGAUUGUAUUCUUAGUUUAAUAAGCUAACGAGAUAUAAGUUCUAAAUUGUGUACAUAUCGCCCGUCGCUUUCAUUUAUAAGUGAAAUAAGUCGUAACAUAGUAGAUGUACUGGAAAGUGUAUCUGGUUGUAG